Molecule: ribosomal RNA, 622 nt
Filed under: uncultured Crater Lake bacterium CL120-88
Lineage: Bacteria
Description: bacterial SSU rRNA
Rfam family: Bacterial small subunit ribosomal RNA
Source: RNAcentral
AGAGUUUGAUCAUGGCUCAGGAUGAACGCUGGCGGUAUGCUUUAACACAUGCAAGUCGAACGAGAGUUUUUGACUCUAGUGGCGAACGGGUGCGUAAUACGUGGGAAUCUGCCCUUAGGAGAAGAAUAACUACUGGAAACGGUAGCUAAGUCUUCAUAUGCCCGAGAGGUGAAAUAGUUUCAACUGCCUAUGGAUGAGCUCACGCCUGAUUAGCUAGUUGGUGAGGUAAUGGCUUACCAAGGCCACGAUCAGUAGCUUGAUUUGAGAGAAUGAUCAGCCACACUGGGACUGAGACACGGCCCAGACUCUUACGGGAGGCAGCAGUGAGGAAUUUUUCGCAAUGGGCGCAAGCCUGACGGAGCAAUACUGCGUGGAGGAUGAAGGCUCGUGGGCUGUAAACUCCUUUUCCUCGAGAAGAAGUUCUGACGGUAUCGGGGGAAUAAGCAUCAGCUAACUGCGUGCCAGCAGCUGCGGUAAUACGUGGGAUGCAAGCGUUGUCCGGAUUUAUUGGGCGUAAAGCGUCUGUAGGUGGCUUCGCAAGUUUGUUGUUAAAUCAUUCAGCUUAACUGAAUUCAAGCAGCAAAAACUAUGAAGCUUGAGUGCGGUAGAGGAAGAGGGAAUU